Thalassophryne amazonica is the source of this 148-nucleotide long non-coding RNA. RefSeq lists it as uncharacterized. The transcript is spliced from 3 exons. The record is from RefSeq and is a predicted model, not a curated record. NCBI's taxonomy places the organism in Eukaryota, Metazoa, Chordata, Actinopteri, Batrachoidiformes, Batrachoididae.
GUCCUUGGAGUUCAGCUGCUUAUGCAUGCCCUGUUGAAACUGUCUUCAGCCCCAACUGAGAUACCACAAGAGGUAAUGGCCACAAUUGAGAGGUUUGUUAUCCUACUCUAUGACCGAACCAGCACAUGCACAGAAAUAGAUACGGCAA